GACGAACGCUGGCGGCGUGCUUAACACAUGCAAGUCGAACGGAAAGGCCCUGCUUUUGUGGGGUGCUCGAGUGGCGAACGGGUGAGUAACACGUGAGUAACCUGCCCUUGACUUUGGGAUAACUUCAGGAAACUGGGGCUAAUACCGGAUAGGAGCUCCUGCUGCAUGGUGGGGGUUGGAAAGUUUCGGCGGUUGGGGAUGGACUCGCGGCUUAUCAGCUUGUUGGUGGGGUAGUGGCUUACCAAGGCUUUGACGGGUAGCCGGCCUGAGAGGGUGACCGGCCACAUGGGGACUGAGAUACGGCCCAGACGCCUACGGGAGGCAGCAGUGGGGAAUAUUGCACAAUGGGCGGAAGCCUGAUGCAGCAACGCCGCGUGCGGGAUGACGGCCUUCGGGUUGUAAACCGCUGUCGCCUGUGACGAAGCGUGAGUGACGGUAAUGGGUAAAGAAGCACCGGCUAACUACGUG
Molecule: ribosomal RNA, 468 nt
Filed under: uncultured bacterium
Lineage: Bacteria
Description: partial 16S ribosomal RNA
Rfam family: Bacterial small subunit ribosomal RNA
Source: RNAcentral